AAAUUGAAGAGUUUGAUCAUGGCUCAGAUUGAACGCUGGCGGCAGGCCUAACACAUGCAAGUCGAACGGUAACAGGAAGCAGCUUGCUGCUUUGCUGACGAGUGGCGGACGGGUGAGUAAUGUCUGGGAAACUGCCUGAUGGAGGGGGAUAACUACUGGAAACGGUAGCUAAUACCGCAUAACGUCGCAAGACCAAAGAGGGGGACCUUCGGGCCUCUUGCCAUCGGAUGUGCCCAGAUGGGAUUAGCUUGUUGGUGGGGUAACGGCUCACCAAGGCGACGAUCCCUAGCUGGUCUGAGAGGAUGACCAGCCACACUGGAACUGAGACACGGUCCAGACUCCUACGGGAGGCAGCAGUGGGGAAUAUUGCACAAUGGGCGCAAGCCUGAUGCAGCCAUGCCGCGUGUAUGAAGAAGGCCUUCGGGUUGUAAAGUACUUUCAGCGGGGAGGAAGGGAGUAAAGUUAAUACCUUUACUCAUUGACGUUACCCGCAGAAGAAGCACCGGCUAACUCCGUGCCAGCAGCCGCGGUAAUACGGAGGGUGCAAGCGUUAAUCGGAAUUACUGGGCGUAAAGCGCACGCAGGCGGUUUGUUAAGUCAGAUGUGAAAUCCCCGGGCUCAACCUGGGAACUGCAUCUGAUACUGGCAAGCUUGAGUCUCGUAGAGGGGGGUAGAAUUCCAGGUGUAGCGGUGAAAUGCGUAGAGAUCUGGAGGAAUACCGGUGGCGAAGGCGGCCCCCUGGACGAAGACUGACGCUCAGGUGCGAAAGCGUGGGGAGCAAACAGGAUUAGAUACCCUGGUAGUCCACGCCGUAAACGAUGUCGACUUGGAGGUUGUGCCCUUGAGGCGUGGCUUCCGGAGCUAACGCGUUAAGUCGACCGCCUGGGGAGUACGGCCGCAAGGUUAAAACUCAAAUGAAUUGACGGGGGCCCGCACAAGCGGUGGAGCAUGUGGUUUAAUUCGAUGCAACGCGAAGAACCUUACCUGGUCUUGACAUCCACGGAAGUUUUCAGAGAUGAGAAUGUGCCUUCGGGAACCGUGAGACAGGUGCUGCAUGGCUGUCGUCAGCUCGUGUUGUGAAAUGUUGGGUUAAGUCCCGCAACGAGCGCAACCCUUAUCCUUUGUUGCCAGCGGUCCGGCCGGGAACUCAAAGGAGACUGCCAGUGAUAAACUGGAGGAAGGUGGGGAUGACGUCAAGUCAUCAUGGCCCUUACGACCAGGGCUACACACGUGCUACAAUGGCGCAUACAAAGAGAAGCGACCUCGCGAGAGCAAGCGGACCUCAUAAAGUGCGUCGUAGUCCGGAUUGGAGUCUGCAACUCGACUCCAUGAAGUCGGAAUCGCUAGUAAUCGUGGAUCAGAAUGCCACGGUGAAUACGUUCCCGGGCCUUGUACACACCGCCCGUCACACCAUGGGAGUGGGUUGCAAAAGAAGUAGGUAGCUUAACCUUCGGGAGGGCGCUUACCACUUUGUGAUUCAUGACUGGGGUGAAGUCGUAACAAGGUAACCGUAGGGGAACCUGCGGUUGGAUCACCUCCUUA
This 1542-nucleotide ribosomal RNA is filed under the name Escherichia coli. Its description in RNAcentral is "bacterial SSU rRNA". It matches the Rfam family "Bacterial small subunit ribosomal RNA". RNAcentral also lists the same sequence under 5 other names. The record is from RNAcentral. Lineage: Bacteria; Pseudomonadati; Pseudomonadota; Gammaproteobacteria; Enterobacterales; Enterobacteriaceae.